This 953-nucleotide long non-coding RNA is filed under the name Mytilus galloprovincialis (Mediterranean mussel). Lineage: Eukaryota; Metazoa; Mollusca; Bivalvia; Mytilida; Mytilidae. The record is from RNAcentral.
UGGCUAACAAUUUAAACUUAACCUGAGAAAGGAACACAUUGAAAAUUGAUUUUUUUUAAACGUUUAUAAGUAGUAAGGGGCAGGGUGUGAUAAGAAGCUAUUUUGUCCAUAUGUUUUCGCUAUAAAAUGUCAGUUGCAAGAUAAAAAUGUUUGUUUUCUUCUAAAAUAAAUCUUCAUUAAUUUUGGUCAAGGUUAACAGCCCAAACUUUUUUUCUUAAAAUGUCCUGUAGAAAGUCAGAAGCAUGGCAGUUAUUAUCAAAUAGCAGGUUUCUAUGUAUGUUGGAUUUGUGUUUGUUGCAGUUCUGUGUUCCUGUUGUUUUGUUGUUUUCCUCUCAUUGUUGAUGUGUUUCUCUCAAUUUUGGUUUGUGACCCUAAAUUUCUUUUUGCUUAAUUUAUUUUAUGUCUUGAUCACCAUUAUACUACUGUUGCCUUUAUUUAGCUAGAUUUUACUUGAAGUAAAAUUCAUGUACAUGUAUUAGGAAGACUGUGGAGUGUGGACCACCAAUAAAAUAUUGCAUGAUUAAAGAGUUCAUCAGAAAUAUUAAAUAGUCAUUUGUGUUGUAGUCUAUGCACUUGAGCUUGUACUUUUAAAAUAUAUUAAAAAUUUUCUCAAUUUUGCUAAAUUUUUUUUACUCCCAUCAGAUUUGUAAAAUUGGAAUAACUAAUAAUAGCUUUAUGGAACAUACAGUUAUAUCACCUGGAAACAAAACCAGGCUCCUAUAUCAAUGUCACAUUUGUCAAAUUACAUGUGCAAUAAGUGCAAUAAGUGCAAUAAAUAACUGCAGUGAUGAAGCAUACAUGGAUGCUUCUUUAAUAAAUGAUUCUAAUGCAACAAUGUUUUUAAAUUUUCAUUUUGCUUGAAAAAUCCCUCAAACUUCAGGGGAUCUAUUCCAUAAUUGAUAGUUAGGAAUUGAUGAUAUGUGAAUUAUUUUGAUAUGUAUAUGAUUUCAUUU